GUACAUUCUGAACAGCUGGGUAAUCUCUUACACCACUCACAGGAAGAAAGAACAACCACAUUUGUCAGAGAUUUGGAAGGCUUUUAAGUGCCUGUGGAGGGACGACCAGAGUCAACAUGGGGUUGCCUGAACUUCAGAAGUGUUUAGAGACCUCUGCACAGGCCUCUGACCAACUCUUAGAACAGACGGAAGGAGUUGGAAGUUUUAAAACUCUCGACCUGAACUCACUCAAAGCAACAAUCAUGGAGGUGAACUGGAUGUUUUCCCCUGGUUCUAACACAGCGUGUUUCAAAAGAGUCCCAGCAUAUCAGAUCCAGCUGUGUAGAUUUCUACCUGGGCUACAUUUCUAACCGGGAAAAAUUGUGGAAAAGUAAGAAUUGAUACAACAGCAAAAAGGGUCCCAAGAGACAAUACCUUCACAUCAGGAAACUCAACUUCCACCACAUGAUCUUGAAUUUGGUCCCAGUUGAUCUUGUAGGAAACAAGGAGUUGAUCUCUGUCGGAUUUGUAUAGAAUAUUGUCAUAUCCCUCCAUUACCCUCACGUGGAAGUGGUUUGUGGAUAUUAUUAAUUUCUUUGUCCUUAUAUAGCCAUUAAUGGGGAUUGACAAGUUUUACAACUGAGAAACAUUAAAUAUUUGGGUCAUCACUUUUAUUGAAUCAACUUGGUGGGCGGCACGGUGGCACAGUGGUUCGCACUGCUGC
Non-coding RNA from Chiloscyllium plagiosum (whitespotted bambooshark), 703 nucleotides. NCBI's taxonomy places the organism in Eukaryota, Metazoa, Chordata, Chondrichthyes, Orectolobiformes, Hemiscylliidae. The record is from RefSeq and is a predicted model, not a curated record.